AGUGAACGCUGGCGGCGUGCUUAACACAUGCAAGUCGAACGAGAACGGGUUAUAGCUUGCUAUAAUUGUCAGCUAAGUGGCGCACGGGUGAGUAAUGUAUAGGUAAUAUGCCUCUUACUAAGGGAUAACAAAUGGAAACGUUUGCUAAUACCUUAUACUCCUUAUUAACAGAAGUUAAUAAGGGAAAGAUUUAUUGGUAAGAGAUUAGCCUGUAUUGUAUCAGUUAGUUGGUGGGGUAAUGGCUUACCAAGACUAUGACACAUAACUGGUUUGAGGGGAUGAGCAGUCACACUGGAACUGAGACACGGUCCAGACUCCUACGGGAGGCAGCAGUGGGGAAUAUUGCACAAUGGACGGAAGUCUGAUGCAGCAACGCCGCGUGGAGGAUGACACAUUUCGGUGCGUAAACUCCUUUUAUAUGAGAAGAUAAUGACGGUAUUAUAUGAAUAAGCACCGGCUAACUCCGUGCCAGCCGCCGCCGUAA
This 484-nucleotide ribosomal RNA is filed under the name uncultured bacterium. Its description in RNAcentral is "partial 16S ribosomal RNA". It matches the Rfam family "Bacterial small subunit ribosomal RNA", at positions 29 to 523 of the family's 1533-position model. The record is from RNAcentral.